Sus scrofa (pig) is the source of this 891-nucleotide RNA transcript. RefSeq lists it as uncharacterized. Lineage: Eukaryota; Metazoa; Chordata; Mammalia; Artiodactyla; Suidae. The record is from RefSeq and is a predicted model, not a curated record.
GAUAAUCCCACAGCUGGUUAGGCUCAGGUUAACGAGUUUCCCCUGAGGGCAGGCUUUAUUAAGAGCAGCCGCUUGCUCUGGCCUGUUGCAAAAUGGCUCCUCUUCCUCUCCCCUUGCUGGGGGCAUAAGGGCAUUUUUCUCCAACAUUUCCUGGGAGAGCCUGGUGAAGCCCUGGUGGGUAAGUCUUGCAAAUCUGUGGGGCUCCCGGGACUGGGAGCCCCUGAAAAUUUUUAACUCUCAGAGCCGUCUGCGCAGUCUCCAGCACGUGGUCUGUUACAGCACAGGUUUCCCCUGCCUGGCUCUGUUUUCCCAGCCACUUCAUCGCUGAAUCGUUGUGCUGUCAAACAGUUUUGGUGACCAAUGAAAAGGACCCUUUGCUGCGUGAACUCUAUAGGAACUGGAGCCUUGGUAAUAGCAGAAGCCACUUGCAUGCAUCUGCCUCCUUGAGAGUCCAGAUAAAUUUGGAUCCUACAUCUGGAUGGGUACAAAAUUAAGGAACUCUGAUGGAAAACCCGAUGUCUUCAUAAAAAUGUUAACAAAAAGGAUUAGUGACCUAAGACAAUGAAUUGAUGAAGAUCAGAUGCCCUGUGACCUGCAACCAGGGGAUUAUGCAUAUUGAAAAGUGUAGCUCUAAAGGAAGUCAUUCCUGUAAAAAUGUUAUGUGGCCAGCACUGUCAAACAAAUAGGAUUGAGUCACCAAGUGAUUUACUGACUGGAUUUGGAGGACUUCAUGGAAACCAGAGAAGAGCUGCAGGGAAGACCUCUGGAAGGGUGGCAUCCAGGAAGUUCUGGAAAUCUAGAAACCACACAGAAGUGCGAGAUCACAGGAUGCUCCUGGCCACUCUGGCAUCAUAUGGAGGUUCCCAGGGGGGCCUAAUCAGAGCUGCAGGC